ACAGAUUCAGGACCACGGCCAGCACCCACACUGCCUUCCGUAAACACUGAGCUAAAUAAACCUAGAGCCUUGGUGAUGAGAUCAGCACUGCCUUUGUAAGUUGGUUUUCUCAACAAACAUCAACUGAACAUCUACUAAACGUAAGAGCACUCUGGCUGUCAACUGAAAACAGCAGCAGCAGCAGCAGCAGCAGCAACACCACCACCAACAACAACGACAACUGUUGCAUAUAUAACUGAAGAUCCACAGAGUCCCUCUUUCCAGUGUUAGUUGCUACAAGGAGUGAGAGAAUGAAGAUCUGACCUCAAGGAAUACAAGAGUUUUGUUCAAAGUUCCAAGACUAAGCUAUUAGAAGGGAGGGAGGGCCUGGUGCCAUGUCAUCUCUGACCAAGAGAAUUGGUAGAAUAGAAAUAAUCUAUUUCUCACGUGGUCUAGGACUUGACAAUUUACAUAGCAGUUUUAUAUCCUCUACUUCAUUUGACAUGCUCCCAUCACCCUGUGAAGCAUGUGUCAUUGUUACCACUCACUUUCCAGAUAAGGAGAGAUGGGGAGGCUCAGGGAGGUGAAUGGAUUUGCCUGAGGCCACUGGUCAGUGACUGAGCUGGGAUAGGAAUUACUUUCUCUGGUCUCUUGAUCUCACCUCUUUGUCUCACUCUUUCUGCUGCAUCUCAGUUGCUUCUGCGUCUGGCCAGACCCAAAAACAAAUCAUGUAAUUGAGUUGGAAUGUGGGUGCUGGGGCCCGGGAGACAAUGUUUUCUGCUUUUCAAUCUGUUCUUAAUUUAUUAAAGUGAUGAAAUAAGGAAGAGGCCCAGAAGGGUGGAUGUUUUCCAUCAGUGAGUCAGGGGAACAUGCAGAGGCAGAAGGUCAGGAGGAAGCUGCUGUUGCU
RNAcentral lists this long non-coding RNA (886 nucleotides) under Homo sapiens (human). RNAcentral's name for it is "non-protein coding lnc-DMRTA2-1:17". Lineage: Eukaryota; Metazoa; Chordata; Mammalia; Primates; Hominidae. The record is from RNAcentral.